CCUACGGGAGGCAGCAGUGGGGAAUUUUGGACAAUGGGCGCAAGCCUGAUCCAGCAAUGCCGCGUGCAGGAUGAAGGCCUUCGGGUUGUAAACUGCUUUUGUACGGAACGAAACGGCCUACUCUAAUACAGUGGGCUAAUGACGGUACCGUAAGAAUAAGCACCGGCUAACUACGUGCCAGCAGCCGCGGUAAUACGUAGGGUGCGAGCGUUAAUCGGAAUUACUGGGCGUAAAGCGUGCGCAGGCGGUUAUAUAAGACAGAUGUGAAAUCCCCGGGCUCAACCUGGGACCUGCAUUUGUGACUGUAUAGCUAGAGUGCGGCAGAGGGGGAUGGAAUUCCGCGUGUAGCAGUGAAAUGCGUAGAUAUGCGGAGGAACACCGAUGGCGAAGGCAAUCCCCUGGGCCUGCACUGACGCUCAUGCACGAAAGCGUGGGGAGCAAACAGGAUUAGAUACCCUGGUAGUCCACGCCCUAAACGAUGUCAACUGGUUGUUGGGUCUUCACUGACUCAGUAACGAAGCUAACGCGUGAAGUUGACCGCCUGGGGAGUACGGCCGCAAGGUUGAAACUHAAAGGAAUUGACGG
This 585-nucleotide ribosomal RNA is filed under the name uncultured beta proteobacterium. RNAcentral describes it as "bacterial SSU rRNA". It matches the Rfam family "Bacterial small subunit ribosomal RNA", at positions 338 to 916 of the family's 1533-position model. The record is from RNAcentral. Lineage: Bacteria; Pseudomonadati; Pseudomonadota; Betaproteobacteria.